UCUGGGAAAAUAAAAGAAAUAACAAAAUAAAUUGUUUGGCAAAACGCUCCGCCUUUGAACGAAGCCAUUUCCUUGGAAAAAGGCGAACACUGCAAUGGAGAAGUGUGAUUGCGAGCAGUAAAAAGAGUCGAGGGCAUCACGUAGUGGCCUUGU
This is a long non-coding RNA of Hibiscus syriacus, 153 nucleotides long. RefSeq lists it as uncharacterized. The transcript is spliced from 3 exons. Lineage: Eukaryota; Viridiplantae; Streptophyta; Magnoliopsida; Malvales; Malvaceae. The record is from RefSeq and is a predicted model, not a curated record.